GUAGGGUGCGAGCGUUGUCCGGAAUUAUUGGGCGUAAAGAGCUCGUAGGCGGUGUGUCGCGUCGGUCGUGAAAACUUUCAGCUUAACUGGGAGCUUGCGGUCGAUACGGGCAUCACUGGAGUUCGGCAGGGGAGACUGGAAUUCCUGGUGUAGCGGUGAAAUGCGCAGAUAUCAGGAGGAACACCGGUGGCGAAGGCGGGUCUCUGGGCCGAUACUGACGCUGAGGAGCGAAAGCGUGGGGAGCGAACAGGAUUAGAUACCCUGGUAGUCCACGCCGUAAACGGUGGGCGCUAGGUGUGGGGGCCAUUCCACGGUCUCUGUGCCGCAGCUAACGCAUUAAGCGCCCCGCCUGGGGAGUACGGCCGCAAGGCUA
RNAcentral lists this ribosomal RNA (373 nucleotides) under uncultured bacterium. RNAcentral describes it as "bacterial SSU rRNA". It matches the Rfam family "Bacterial small subunit ribosomal RNA", at positions 527 to 896 of the family's 1533-position model. The record is from RNAcentral.